Molecule: ribosomal RNA, 460 nt
Filed under: uncultured bacterium
Lineage: Bacteria
Description: partial 16S ribosomal RNA
Rfam family: Bacterial small subunit ribosomal RNA
Source: RNAcentral
CCUACGGGUGGCUGCAGUGAGGAAUAUUGGUCAAUGGACGAGAGUCUGAACCAGCCAAGUAGCGUGAAGGAUGACUGCCCUAUGGGUUGUAAACUUCUUUUAUAUGGGAAUAAAAUGUUCCACGUGUGGGAUUUUGUAUGUACCAUAUGCAUAAGGAUCGGCUAACUCCGUGCCAGCAGCCGCGGUAAUACGGAGGAUCCGAGCGUUAUCCGGAUUUAUUGGGUUUAAAGGGAGCGUAGGUGGAUUGUUAAGUCAGUUGUGAAAGUUUGCGGCUCAACCGUAAAAUUGCAGUUGAAACUGGCAGUCUUGAGUACAGUAGAGGUGGGCGGAAUUCGUGGUGGAGCGGUGAAAUGCUUAGAUAUCACGAAGAACUCCGAUUGCGAAGGCAGUUCACUGGACUGCAACUGACACUGAGGCUCGAAAGUGUGGGUAUCAAACAGGAUUAGAUACCCGUGUAGUC